RNAcentral lists this ribosomal RNA (481 nucleotides) under uncultured archaeon. RNAcentral describes it as "bacterial SSU rRNA". It matches the Rfam family "Archaeal small subunit ribosomal RNA", at positions 93 to 552 of the family's 1478-position model. The record is from RNAcentral.
GUAACACGUUUCAACCUGCCCUGGAGACAUGGACAACCCCGGGNAAACUGGGAUUAAUCCGUGAUAGGUCAUCUCAUCUGGAAGGAGAGAUGGCUUAAAGGGGUACGCGGNGCUUCUUCUGCGUAUUCGCUCCAGGAUGGGACUGCGUCCGAUCAGGCUGUUGGCGGGGUAAUGGCCCACCAAACCUGUAACCGGUACGGGCCUUGAGAGAGGUGGCCCGGAGAUGGACACUGAGAGAAGGGUCCAGGUCCUACGGGGCGCAGCAGGCGCGAAACCUUCGCAAUGCGCGAAAGCGUGACGAGGUUAAUCCGAGUGGCCCCCGCUGAGGGGGUCUCUUGUCAGCUGUAAAUAGGCGGGCGAAUAAGGGGAGGGCAAGCCUGGUGUCNGCCGCCGCGGUAAUACCANCUCCUCGAGUGGUCGGGGCGAUUAUUGGGGCCUAAAGCAUCCGUUCCCGGUUCCGUUGGGCCCUCUGUUUAAAUCC